This 900-nucleotide ribosomal RNA is filed under the name Bacillus subtilis. Its description in RNAcentral is "bacterial SSU rRNA". It matches the Rfam family "Bacterial small subunit ribosomal RNA", at positions 390 to 1282 of the family's 1533-position model. The record is from RNAcentral. Lineage: Bacteria; Bacillati; Bacillota; Bacilli; Caryophanales; Bacillaceae.
AGCAACGCCGCCUGAGUGAUGAAGGUUUUCGGAUCGUAAAGCUCUGUUGUUAGGGAAGAACAAGUACCGUUCGAAUAGGGCGGUACCUUGACGGUACCUAACCAGAAAGCCACGGCUAANUACGUGCCAGCAGCCGCGGUAAUACGUAGGUGGCAAGCGUUGUCCGGAAUUAUUGGGCGUAAAGGGCUCGCAGGCGGUUUCUUAAGUCUGAUGUGAAAGCCCCCGGCUCAACCGGGGAGGGUCAUUGGAAACUGGGGAACUUGAGUGCAGAAGAGGAGAGUGGAAUUCCACGUGUAGCGGUGAAAUGCGUAGAGAUGUGGAGGAACACCAGUGGCGAAGGCGACUCUCUGGUCUGUAACUGACGCUGAGGAGCGAAAGCGUGGGGAGCGAACAGGAUUAGAUACCCUGGUAGUCCACGCCGUAAACGAUGAGUGCUAAGUGUUAGGGGGUUUCCGCCCCUUAGUGCUGCAGCUAACGCAUUAAGCACUCCGCCUGGGGAGUACGGUCGCAAGACUGAAACUCAAAGGAAUUGACGGGGGCCCGCACAAGCGGUGGAGCAUGUGGUUUAAUUCGAAGCAACGCGAAGAACCUUACCAGGUCUUGACAUCCUCUGACAAUCCUAGAGAUAGGACGUCCCCUUCGGGGGCAGAGUGACAGGUGGUGCAUGGUUGUCGUCAGCUCGUGUCGUGAGAUGUUGGGUUAAGUCCCGCAACGAGCGCAACCCUUGAUCUUAGUUGCCAGCAUUCAGUUGGGCACUCUAAGGUGACUGCCGGUGACAAACCGGAGGAAGGUGGGGAUGACGUCAAAUCAUCAUGCCCCUUAUGACCUGGGCUACACACGUGCUACAAUGGACAGAACAAAGGGCAGCGAAACCGCGAGGUUAAGCCAAUCCCACAAAUC